GCACUGGUGGCUGUGUGGUAGAGCUUCUGCCUACCAUGUAGGACAUCUGAGUUUAAGUCCCAACUGGUGUG
This 71-nucleotide transfer RNA is filed under the name Alligator sinensis (Chinese alligator). It matches the Rfam family "tRNA". From Rfam's summary of the family: Transfer RNA (tRNA) molecules are approximately 80 nucleotides in length. Their secondary structure includes four short double-helical elements and three loops (D, anti-codon, and T loops). Further hydrogen bonds mediate the characteristic L-shaped molecular structure. tRNAs have two regions of fundamental functional importance: the anti-codon, which is responsible for specific mRNA codon recognition, and the 3' end, to which the tRNAs corresponding amino acid is attached (by aminoacyl-tRNA synthetases). tRNAs cope with the degeneracy of the genetic code in two manners: having more than one tRNA (with a specific anti-codon) for a particular amino acid; and 'wobble' base-pairing, i.e. permitting non-standard base-pairing at the 3rd anti-codon position. Lineage: Eukaryota; Metazoa; Chordata; Crocodylia; Alligatoridae. The record is from Rfam by way of RNAcentral.